This 202-nucleotide long non-coding RNA is filed under the name Zonotrichia albicollis (white-throated sparrow). Its description in RNAcentral is "lncRNA (ENSZALG00000009948.1)". Lineage: Eukaryota; Metazoa; Chordata; Aves; Passeriformes; Passerellidae. The record is from RNAcentral.
AUGAAGAGUCACUGCUUUAAAAGCUUAAUUUCACCAGCAAGAAGCGUUGGACUGGAGGAUAUGGCUGAAGCCCUGCUCCUUUCAGAAGCAAAGUUACCAAGUUUUACUGCAGAAGAGCAUCUGUCUCCAGGCUGCUUUACUUCAGCUGCGUCCUUCCAGCUCCUGCAGUUGCCAAAAACAAUCAAAAUGCCAUGGAUGCCGU